GUUUGAUCCUGGCUCAGGAUGAACGCUGGCGGUCUGCUUAACACAUGCAAGUCGAACGGGAUCCUUCGGGAUUUAGUGGCGGACGGGUGAGUAACGCGUGAGAAUCUGCCCUUAGGUUGGGGACAACAGUUGGAAACGACUGCUAAUACCCAAUGUGCCGAGAGGUGAAAGGUUAACUGCCUGGGGAUGAGCUCGCGUCUGAUUAGCUAGUUGGAGUGGUAACGGCACACCAAGGCGACGAUCAGUAGCUGGUCUGAGAGGAUGAUCAGCCACACUGGGACUGAGACACGGCUCAGACUCCUACGGGAGGCAGCAGUGGGGAAUUUUCCGCAAUGGGCGAAAGCCUGACGGAGCAAGACCGCGUGAGGGAGGAAGGCCUAUUGGUUGUAAACCUCUUUUGAUAGGGAAGAACACAAUGACGGUACCUAUCGAAUCAGCAUCGGCUAACUCCGUGCCAGCAGCCGCGGUAAUACGGAGGAUGCAAGCGUUAUCCGGAUUUAUUGGGCGUAAAGCGUCCGUAGGUGGCAAACCAAGUCAGUUGUUAAAGCGUAGAGCUUAACUCUAUAAGGGCAAUUGAAACUGGUUAGCUAGAGUGCGAUAGGGGCAAGGGGAAUUCCCAGUGUAGCGGUGAAAUGCGUAGAUAUUGGGAAGAACAUCGGUGGCGAAGGCGCCUUGCUGGGUCUGCACUGACACUGAGGGACGAAAGCUAGGGGAGCGAAAGGGAUUAGAUACCCCUGUAGUCCUAGCCGUAAACGAUGG
This 759-nucleotide ribosomal RNA is filed under the name cyanobacterium enrichment culture clone B_RT_B.2.6_A10-T7. RNAcentral describes it as "bacterial SSU rRNA". It matches the Rfam family "Bacterial small subunit ribosomal RNA", at positions 11 to 812 of the family's 1533-position model. The record is from RNAcentral. Lineage: Bacteria; Bacillati; Cyanobacteriota.